GUGCUUGCUUCAGCAGCACAUAUACUAAAAUUGGAACAAUACAGAGAAGAUUACCAAGGCCCCUGAGCCAUGAUGGCAUGCAAAUUCGUGAAGCAUUAAAAUAAAAA
RNAcentral lists this small nuclear RNA (107 nucleotides) under Dasypus novemcinctus (nine-banded armadillo). The record is from RNAcentral. Lineage: Eukaryota; Metazoa; Chordata; Mammalia; Cingulata; Dasypodidae.